UGCAUGAGUGUGAAGGUCAGAGGCCA
Molecule: non-coding RNA, 26 nt
Filed under: Rattus norvegicus (Norway rat)
Lineage: Eukaryota; Metazoa; Chordata; Mammalia; Rodentia; Muridae
Source: RNAcentral